RNAcentral lists this small RNA (59 nucleotides) under Pseudomonas sp. AD21. RNAcentral describes it as "sX6". The record is from RNAcentral. Lineage: Bacteria; Pseudomonadati; Pseudomonadota; Gammaproteobacteria; Pseudomonadales; Pseudomonadaceae.
GCUAAGCACUCGCUGCAAAUGAAAACGCCCCGACUUAGGUCGGGGCGUUUUUGUUUGUG